UACGUAGGGGGCAAGCGUUGUCCGGAUUUAUUGGGCGUAAAGAGCGUGUAGGCGGCUAGGUAGGUCCGUUGUGAAAACUCGAGGCUCAACCUCGAGCUGUCGAUGGAAACCAUCUAGCUAGAGUCCGGAAGAGGAGAGUGGAAUUCCUGGUGUAGCGGUGAAAUGCGCAGAUAUCAGGAAGAACACCCGUGGCGAAGGCGGCUCUCUGGGACGGUACUGACGCUGAGACGCGAAAGCGUGGGGAGCGAACAGG
This 253-nucleotide ribosomal RNA is filed under the name uncultured bacterium. RNAcentral describes it as "partial 16S ribosomal RNA". It matches the Rfam family "Bacterial small subunit ribosomal RNA", at positions 524 to 776 of the family's 1533-position model. The record is from RNAcentral.